UCUCCGUUGGUGAACCAGCGGAGGGAUCAUUACCGAGUUUACAACUCCCAAACCCAGUGUGAACGUUACCAAACUGUUGCCUCGGCGGGGUCACGCCCCGGGUGCGUCGCAGCCCCGGAACCAGGCGCCCGCCGGAGGAACCAACCAAACUCUUUCUGUAGUCCCCUCGCGGACGUUAUUUCUUACAGCUCUGAGCAAAAAUUCAAAAUGAAUCAAAACUUUCAACAACGGAUCUCUUGGUUCUG
Molecule: unclassified non-coding RNA, 245 nt
Filed under: plant metagenome
Description: partial contains small subunit ribosomal RNA, internal transcribed spacer 1, and 5.8S ribosomal RNA
Source: RNAcentral